Xyrichtys novacula (pearly razorfish) is the source of this 4512-nucleotide non-coding RNA. The record is from the annotation of a GenBank genome assembly. Lineage: Eukaryota; Metazoa; Chordata; Actinopteri; Labriformes; Labridae.
CACUCAAAAGACAAAAAGAGUUUUUCAACAGAUAAAAGUUUUAAAAGUUUCCUAACAUGUUAAGAGACAAGACAAAGAAUUUUUUAAAGUUAUUUGACAUAUAACACCAUGUACCUUGGGGAAAGGAAAAAACCUCUUUAUAAAUGUCAUGUGAUGUUACCUUUCCUGAAGGCCUACUUUCUUCUGUUUGGCCAGGUAAGCGUAGACAUAAUGACCAUAACUAGUGGAAAAAAAAAAAAAACUGUACCUUGAGAAGUUUUUUAACUGAGAUGCUCUCCUCAGUUUUUUUACUAUCAUCAUCUGCCACAAAAGUGUAGGAGAACGUUCAGUGGUAUUAGAAAAUUAGAGAUUCUUACUGAGUGAUAACUCACAGAGUAGAAAAUAAAAAGCUGUGUCGAAGUGUAAAAAUGAACUUACUGGAGUGUGCACUUAAAGCUAGCUUCAAAAGUAAAGGAAACCUCAUUAAAGUCCAUGCUUCAAUCUCAGGAGCACUGUGAGGGUGUCGGGUGUCCCGCUUUGUGCUGGCCUGGAGUUGCUGGACAGAAGUGUGGAAGUAUUUCAUUCAUAUUUCCAGGGGGCAUCAACAAUGGUUGCAUGCAGGAGUGCCUCAUAAAGUAACUGUUGAGACUUACAACCAAUCAAAUUGCGGACCACUUGACGUAGUGCCUCAAAUCACUCGCUGCCAUCAGAUGUGCGUGUUCCUGUAGCUGCCAUCUUGUUUGUUUACAAAUACCCUAAAGCCAGACUGCUGUGUCGUCAUCUUACAGGAUCUGCCCCGUUUUUACACCCAGGGUUAUGAUUGGUUAGGUGUAUCUGUCAAAAAGGGGGAAUCAUUAAGAGUGACACCCACCUGUCAGGAAAACUGAUUAUGAACUGGCUGAUGGACCCGGUACACCAGGCUAGCUUUAUGUAGGACUGCUUCACUCCCUCCACCUAUUAUGUCCACCAUGUCCAACAAAUUGUUCCAAAUUUGAAUGUGGGAUUGCUGCUUUUCUAAAAACCUGGUCUGUUUGCAGCCUGUGGUUAAUAUCUCCACUACAAUGUUAUAUGCCAAUCGGCCUGUACACAAACCGUAUAAAGUAACCAACCUGUCAACAUCCUCUUUGCCUAUGUUACACCCAACAGCACUAAACAACGGUGUGAGAGCACCUUAUGAUUGAACUCAUGUCAAAGAAAAGGAAAGGCAGCCACAACAAAGUCUGGGAAAGUAUUUUGUUUCAGUGGAGGCCAAGCUUUCUUGCAACAUUUGCAAAUGAAAUUCAUGCACAAAAGAGAAUAUUACUUCAAGUGACACACUACAUGCAAAAACAUAAAAAAGAGCCAUGGCUCAUACAAAGAAAUGUGGAUCUUUGAGUGCAUUCCCCUGAGACCAAAAGAGGAUCUCCAAACAGAAAAGGUAACAGCAGAAAUAAAAAAAAAUGGAUGCUACCACACAGUGUAGUGCUUACAGUCAGAUCAGGUUGCUGUCUUCAACAGUUUGCAGUAUGAUAUCUGAUAAAAUAUGAUAUCCAUAUUAAGACCUACUAACCCAACAAGCAGUGGAUUAUGGGAGUACACACCUCUGAACCAAACUCAGUCAUCAUUGAAAAUCCAACUACAGUGAUUUUUGGGUCCUCAGAUGAAUGAUGUGAUCUGUCAGAACUUCCUGAUUGAUUCAGGUCUGAUCAGCUGUACUGCUCUGAAUGAUUAUUGGCUGUUCGGUUGUCAUGACAACAAACCAUCCCCUGAAUACAGGAGGCCUUGGAACAAUGUUCCUGUUUUAGAGAUGCAGACCAUCACUGCUGCAUCCGAUCACAAGUUAAUGGCUGUUUUACACGGUCGCCGGCAUGCUCCUUUAAGGUGUUUCAUCCUCCUGAACCACCUCCAGCUUCGACUCCAUCCUGAGCAGUCCACCUUAACAGCCCUCUGCCUGGCACUCAAACCAGCUUUGUUUACUGACAGGAUUUGGCAGUCAGCCAUUUUGUUUUUGCACAUUUACAUAAACACCAAAUGGUGCCUGUUUCCUGUGUGAGUGUGUAUGCAGUGUGUGUGUGUGUGUGUAUGAGUGUGUGAAUGUGCAGGGGCCCUGGCUAAUUCCCUCCCUUGUCGCUGCUGCAGAUGAAAAUCGGAGGCAGUUUGAGAUUCAUUAAAGCGCGGCGGCUGCCCGGAUGCAGUUUUCCUGCAAAAAGCCGAUGAACUUGACACAAAUGCUCACGAGCUGCAAGUUCAUCCCUCCAUACCUUAAUUCAGUUGAUUGCUAAAUUAUGCAAUGACCCAGCCAAAGACAUGGGGAAGGGCGGGGGGGCUUUAUCGCUGCCAGUGAUUUUUCCAGAAUUACUCUGUUUUUAGAAAUACUUCCUGCUCGCCGUAACCGCGGGCUAAACAUGUGUGCUAGGCAGCACAGCAGAAAAUAAACGAAGAACUUCCACUUCCUACCACUCCUGCUCUUCAGUAGACUGUAAGAGUGUCAUCCUCAUAUAUCAGGUAGACAGGGAGACAUGCCAUCAAUGUAAAUGUUCAGUUUUAUUAAUUUUACCACUGUAAGCUGCAAUUGACGUUGAAUUUAAAAUGAAUGAGUUGUUCAUCCUGACCUGUUACAAAUACCUGUCAUGGCACAGGGUUGAACGAUGGGAAAAGGACCCAAAAAUGCAGAACAAUUGAUUUAUUUAAAAAGAACUAAAUGAAAAAACAACAAACACUUUCUUCAAAAUGUCCAGCUGAAAAAUCCCUAAGACAAAAUCCAACAAAAGGCACAGGGUAAAAAAACAAGGAGACAAUGGAUUCACACAUUGACUACGACUGACGCACACUGACCAACAAACACACACACAAUGAACCAACCAAGACAGAGGGGGAGACAGGGACUAUAUACACACUGGGACACGAGCAACAGGUGAAACAGACGAGACACAGGUGAAACUAAUGGGUGAUUAACGAAGGAGGGAAAACUUGGGAAGUAAAACCAGACUAGAAACACAAGGAAUCAACUACUACAAAAUAAAACAGGAAACACUGAGAACUGAACUAAAGAAUAAAAACAGAGAACAGGAGGGAAACAGGAUCAAAUACAAACUAAAAACUCAUAAGACUGGACUACAGGGGAACAGAAACACUAGGAAACACAGAAAAUACACUCAAAUGACAAAACCAUGAAAAAACUAAAUCAAAAGAACAUAUCAUGACAAUACCAAAUCCUCUUCAAUGGUCUCAUUUGAACUGAAAGGGACCAUCGAGGGGAAAUGAAGCCUGUACUUCCCGUGUCUGAUGCCGACUCUUUGGCUUUUUAUACAUCAAGUUAAGGAUCCUUCUCCACCAGGCUUUUAAAGUAACAUCAACCCAACUUAGGCAUUACUGGGAAAAAGAGACAAUACCUCUGAUGAUAGAGAAGAAAUACAGAGAAAAACCACUCAAAGUGGAGGGUCAGGGGCUGGAAAUAUGAUGACCAGCUUUUCAUAUUUGUGCUGCAUUUACUGUUACUUUGUGUACAUUUCAACUGUAGUAUCACUUUUUGAAUUUGCAUGAUUUCCUUAUUUGCAGCAUGUUUCUCCUACUAGAGACCAUUUGGUUCUGUGAAUAUAUAGUACAGGGCAUGUAAGCUGAUAUAAAGUUUCCCCAAACUUCAAUCUCAAACUGCAACCUCUAAAUAAAAAACACAGAGUACUAAAUAGUAGUAAAAAACUGAAUGCGCACAGCUAUAAAGACAUCAAAACUGCCAUUAGAUGCAUUUUGAUAAUCUUAUACAUCAGUUACAAUUGUGUGUUUUGGAUUUCAAAUUGUUAAUUGUAUUUCUAGUGCAACUCUCAUCAAAAAUAGGAACAAAAUAAGAUGGCUCACUUGCACAUACUGUCAGUUUUGUUCAACAUAUUUGUGAAGUAUUGGAUCAUGUAUGCUGGUCAGGUGAGCGGCAUGGGAAGGCCAGAUUUGGCCCAGGGGCUGCCGAUUCGGCCUGGUCAAAAGGGGUCAUUAGAAAAUCACUUAACAGUAAACAAACAGUUCAAUCAGAAAUACGCACAAAAUUAAGACCAGUGAAGAGGUCAUGAGGAUGGAAAGAAAUGAAAUACUGUCUGUGACUAAUCAGUAGUACAUACCACUUCUGUUUGCAAUCCCACAAACCCUUACUGCUUUCUGUCACAUGAAGGUGACAAAUAUUGGUGUUUUUUGUUUGACAUUUUAACUUUAGGUAUUAUAUGAGUCAGAUUUUUUAUUCCUGAUAGUAAAUACAGUGAAGAUUUGAACACGUUUACAUUGGUUGCCUGUUUUAACUGUGCUGUUAACUAUAUGUUUUAUGUAUUAAUGAUAAGACAUUCAUUUUCUGCUUUUAUUCUUAGGAAAACAUUCUUAUUUUUCACACUUUCUACAUAUUUUUUGACUUUCUAUCCCCAGUUGUUGCAUUUGAAGAUUUAUAAAUCUUGUCGUACCUUGAUACACUUGGGUUUUGUUGUUGUCUACUGUCUGUUAUUUUUAUUGAGAGGUGAGAUGCUCAUAUAAGUCACCUGGAUUGUAUUACUUCACCAUCAUGUUAACCUCCUCUGA